Molecule: long non-coding RNA, 3887 nt
Organism: Anolis carolinensis (green anole)
Lineage: Eukaryota; Metazoa; Chordata; Lepidosauria; Squamata; Anolidae
Source: Ensembl
AUGAUUAGAAGAGUCAUAUGCCAGCAAAGACACGGCAUUCCAGACUCUUCACUUGGCCCACCACCAUUGAGGCACAUUGGCUAUGAAAGGUGUAUAGGGAGAGGCUGGUCAGCCAUUCCAAGUGAGAAGAAAGGCCCUGCAUUGAAGAACGUGACCAUAAAAGUUUUAUUCUCAUGAAUUUAGCACCUGUAAAACCCUUGUCACUUUUGAUAACACCAUAAAUGUGACAUACAUGUAUCAAACAAAUACUUUUAGUUAAUGGUGCUCAUGCUGAUUCCUACAUUAAUAAUACGCUCGCUUCUUACACAUUCUUUCCCAUGCUUAUGAAUCUUUUUGUUCACUGUCCUUUAUUGCCAAUAAGUGCUCACCAAAGCUUCCACUAUGCACUGAAUGCUAAAUAAUUGCUCCAGCGAUCAAUCAAAGCAAACACAGACAGGAAUAAUCAGCAUCAUCACAACAUCUUCAUGAUGCAUCAAGGAAGAAUUUUAAGCUCUUUCCUCCCCACACGAGGCUAGUUAAGGGUUGGCUGCAACAUCCUAUGCAUCAUGCUAAUGCAAUGUGACAUUUGCUUAAAGCCGAGGCUUUUCCCAUUAAUGAGUUUCAGAGUUCAUGCAGCAAAGUCAUUGUUACUGUGCCGAGGAAGGAAAGAAUUUGUGUGUGGCAGCAGGUAAAAAAAGCAACAAAAAAAGUAAAUUAAAGGCCACAGUAAGGCAAAGCAUGGAUUUGAAUAUUAUUUACUAGAGCUUAUCCAUGCCACAGGAUCUGUUUUGAAAAAGAAAAAAAAGCUCACAUACUCACUAAAAGUUUAUAAUUGUAGAGCUUGUACUAGGGUAGGUGUUGAUUAUGGUGUUUUGCCCUUUGGCUGCUUCUGUUUUCACAUUUCCAGUAUAGUUAUAUAAAGUUUAUGGUUUGCUGCUUAUAACAAAACCAGCAAUUCCACACACAUACACAUAUAUUCCAAGUAAUUGUGUACAUUAGAAUAAUGUUAACUCAGAGCUUCCUUUAGGCAGAAUGAAGUGGCUAGUUGAAACAAUAGGCUUUGGGUAUUCUUAAAGGGAAAUGGUUUCAUUUACAUACCUUUUUCCUGCCAGAACAGCUACUUGUGAUAAUAUCUGCCUCAUGUGCCAAAACAACACACCAACACAUUCUAAGCACCAUGAGUUGGAUAGAUAUUGGGCAUCGUUUUCUAUUCUACAUCAGGAAUAUUUGGACUGAUCCUGUUGAUAACAAACGGACAUACAGUAGAGUCUCACUUAUCCAACACUUGCUUAUCCAACUUUCUGGAUUAUCCAACGCAUUUUUGUAGUCAAUGUUUUCAAUAUAUCAUGAUAUUUUGGUGCGAAAUUCGUAAAUACAGUAAUUACUCCAUAGCAUUACUGUGUAUUGAACUACUUUUUCUGCCAGAUUUGUUGUAUAACAUGAUGUUUUGGUGCUUAAUUUGUAAAAUCAUAACCUAAUUUGAUGUUUAAUAGGCUUCUCCUUAAUCUCUCCUUAUUAUCCAACAUAUUCGCUUAUCCAAUGUUCUGCCGGCCCGUUUAUGUUGGAUAAGUGAGACUCUACUGUACUAAGAAGGUAUAUAUUCGGUAAUAGUGGUAUUAGUCAGUAUGACUGACAAGUGCUUGCUUCUGAUUUCAGGGCUUUCUCCUCUGAUGCUGUUACAUGUACCUUAGCUUUAAAUUAACCCCCUACUACUAUUAUACUGUCUGCAAUCAGAAACACUAUGACUGUCAGUCCUUGGAAGCUAUAGGACACAAUGCAAGCUCACACAGGUAGUUCCGUGGAAACACUUUAUUGAAAUCCUUCUUGCCAAGAUGAGCCCAAAGCUACUACUAAUCAAUUCCCACCCGGACCCUAGCAGCCCCCCUUCCACAUUCACACCUAUCUGUCAGUAGUCCUUUCCCAGGCUUGAAAACCAGAUCAGGCCACAAAUCAAUCUUCUUAGCCAGAUGGCACUUAUCAUUUAGGCUAUUUCCACCCCAAUUGCUUUUGGCAGGAUGGGAACAGUUCAGCUAGUGUGAAUGCUGGGCGAUCACAUCCUGACAAUAAGCCGCCAAGGAUCUCAUCCCAUUGAUGAAAAUAAGUGUUCCAGGGUGCUUAGAGCAUUCUUUAUGCUGUCAUCUGUAGAAUUGUUUGUACUAGUUAGAAAGUAGAUCAGUAGGGUUUUAAAUAAUAAUAAUAAUUUUAUAAUGUGUUUAUGCUAUAGUUUUUCUUUUCUAUCAAUAAAAUUCGUAGCAAAACCAAAAUACAUCUGGCAACGACCAGGAGCUUAAUGGAUAGCUGCAGUGGUAACAAAGGACAGUUCAGAUAAGUAUGACCAUUGGAAGGUGGAGUGAACUGGGUUCAAUCCAAAAUAACAGUCUAGAUUCUGCUCCUCUCACUGCUGUGCUUUGGGAGCAGAGUGUAUCAGCAGCACCUCAGAAUCUGGUCAGAAGAAGCAAUAUUUCAAACUGGCCUUAGAUGAGCACCGAAUAAGCCUAGAACAUGAAUUUAAAGGGUGCAAACCAAACCUACUUUCAUAUUUCUGCCUUACUGUCCAGAAAUAUUUGUAAGAAUGUGCAAGGAAUUAUAGUAUUACACAAAAUAACUACUCACAUGCUUUGCAUGCACUUCUGACAAUUUUUUGUCCACUGGGGCAAUACUCUACCAGGAAAAAUCUAGGAAUUGCUAACAUAACUCACGUAAUGAAAAAGGUUUUAGCUAGUCUGGAAUUUCAGGUACUGAUUGCAAAGCACUACUUUGAAAGGAAGCCUGAACAAAUCUUGAAAAGUAGCAACAACAAAAAGCCAAUAGGCCUGUUGUCCCUCCUAACCUAUGCCAUCCUUCUUUUUUCAUAAUAACAUGUAGUCUAACUAAUGCCAUCAGAAGCUAUAACUCAGUUUUCCUUACAAAGCCUUGCUACAUUUUCAGAGAGCAGCACUGCUGUAUUGACAGCAGAUCCAAAGUCUGACAGAUGAUUCAAAGGAGGAAAAUAUGCAAAAAAAGAAAAAAGAAAAAAAAGCCCCUGAAGACAAAUGCAUGAAAUUUUAAGCAAAGCAUUUCCAAAAUAUUCAAGUCUUCCACACAACUGUUCUUAGGAGCGCCACAUGAUUUUUCUCCCCUAUAUUUGCAUUUUUUUCAUUUGAAAGUAGAGACGGGGAAGCCCACACAAAUCCAUUUCAUUUGCAGCACUUAUAGGUGAAAUACACUAUUCUUGCUCCCCUGAACAUCCUCUCACCCAUGUUCACUCAAGCCACUCAAGUCUCACGGUUUGUUGCUAAACUGCAAGAUUAUGAGUAGAAGAAAUCAAGUUAAUGGGUAAAAGGAAAUCAUAUAAUUUGUGCAAAGCAUAUAAUGUAGCUAAUAUUAGCCUGAUUGCUUAGAAACAGCAUGUUCUAAUGAAUCUUGGGAAAUAUAUAAAUAGAGAUGCAGAUAUAAAUGUUCAAGAAAAGUUUCAGAGUAUGAUGGAAAAGCAUUUAGAAGUAGUUCCAUAAAGAAGAAGAAAAAGAUUUGGAACAAGAAUUAUAUUUUCUCUGAUGUGUAUGCAAUAAUAAUAAUAAUAAUAAUAAUAAUAAUAAUAAUAAUAAUAAUAAUAACUUUAUUCUUAUACCCCGCCCCAUCUCCCCGAAGGGACUCGGGACGGCUUACAUGGGGCCUUGCCCAGACACAACAAUAUAAAAGCAAAAGCAAAUUACUCAACAAUAAAACAUCAACAUCGAUAAAAACAAUCAUCAAAGGUCAACAUACAAAAUAAAGUGUUAAAAACAUGAGUUGAAUUCACGGAUCUGGGCCAAAGUGCAAAAUAUGCCAAUGCAGAGCUGAAAUCCAUUCAUCCUCAAUCUGUUGUUAUUGUUGUUGCUGCUUGCUGUAGGAAAUGCUGCAAGGUAACUCUUCUUCAGUUUUACAGGCCA